CAAGUAGCCAAACUUCUUGACAUAUCGCAUAUGAAUCUCUGCAUUUGGUCGCUUAAAGAAGGCUGUUUUGAAGUAGUUUUCUCGAUUCCUGAAGUUACGUAUAAGAAUUGCUUAAGGGCAUUGGAAAACAUGACCUUAUGAGCCAUUAGGACUGAAAUUCAAAUCAGUGCAUUACUCAGAUGUAGAUGUUCAUGUACAUACUUUGAGUGCUAAAUCUGAUGAGGAAGAUAUAUCAUUCCCUGAUACAAAAGAACAAACUAUCAGUUACCCAACUGAUAAAGUACAAGUCUUAUCUUUACUUGUGAAUCACACAGGAAAGGGUCAAACCAAAAGCAAAAACAACAUACAUGUAACUGAUGAUACACUAUGGACACCUGAAACAUCUGAUGGAGCAAGAAAGCAACGAUUGUGUUCAAAUAAUUACAAAGACGAAGAUAACCCUUUUGAUAUCAUAGGAACAGAUUUAUCAGACAGAAUGAGUGAACAAAAUGAGGUAGACAUUGAACUGGACUAUAUUGUACAGUCAGGUCGCAUAAGAGGAAAACGGCCAC
Molecule: long non-coding RNA, 551 nt
Organism: Amphimedon queenslandica
Lineage: Eukaryota; Metazoa; Porifera; Demospongiae; Haplosclerida; Niphatidae
Exons: 5
Source: RefSeq, a predicted model, not a curated record